RNAcentral lists this long non-coding RNA (501 nucleotides) under Chinchilla lanigera (long-tailed chinchilla). RNAcentral describes it as "lncRNA (ENSCLAG00000022747.1)". Lineage: Eukaryota; Metazoa; Chordata; Mammalia; Rodentia; Chinchillidae. The record is from RNAcentral.
GGCAGCUCUGCUCUUUCUUCUUCCUGUUAUAAAGACACCAGUGUCGUGCCUAAGAUAGUGUUACCUAACACUAUUUACAUCGCAGAGACCCCAACUCCAAUCAGCAUCAGUGUAUGGAUUAGGUUUCCAAAACAUCAAAUUUGGGGGACGCAUUCAACACAUAGCAUCUAGCAAACCAAAUCUGCAUGGUGAUUUUACUAGAUGCUGAGUUGGGCAGAUCUGAGUUCUUGACAAGGCAGAAAGAUGUAAAGCUGUUUGUGAAAUGCAAGAGAGAAGAAGAUCACACUCAGAAUGCAGACAUCACACCUGGCAGGGAGCUCAAGCCUCAGACUGUGCACCUCAUACCAGUGCCAACGGAAAGUGACAUUCAUUAGGGCAAAAUCUUGUUACAGCCUUCUGCAUUGACUCACAAGCUAAUAAUAUUGACAGCACUUUUGUUCACUCUGGGUGAAAAUGUGUUGCCUUCAGUGUUUUCCCAGUGAGUAUAAACAACAGUGGCAC